UUUCGGUGUGAUGUGGUGGUAAUUUCUGAUUUUAUGAAGAUGUAAUAAAUAAUAUUGACAAUUUACAGUGAAAAUGUUACAAAGAACUUUUGUCGUUUGUUUCAAGUAACGGGAUCAAGAAAAGUGCAAGAUGUAGAGAUGAAAACAAUUUAGAAAAAAUAGUUCUAAAGUGUACCACAACUGUAGCCGCUCUUAAGUGCAACGAUGACCGAGGCACAAAGCUGCACGCCGGGAGUAAUCCGUUUACCAGGGUCGCCGGCCGAGUCGGAGGAGGCCAGAGAACCGUCGUUAAACUCCAGGGAGUCCGGAGAUGAGGACUCGCUAACUUCGUCCACUUCCAAGUCUGCAACCGUUGAGGUCUUCACCCGUACUCCUGGGCAAGGGUUCUACGUUAUACCCCGCAGGUGCGGGUACCUAUCCGAACUCAGCCACCAUC
Pectinophora gossypiella (pink bollworm) is the source of this 436-nucleotide long non-coding RNA. RefSeq lists it as uncharacterized. The record is from RefSeq and is a predicted model, not a curated record. Lineage: Eukaryota; Metazoa; Arthropoda; Insecta; Lepidoptera; Gelechiidae. The transcript has 3 exons.